This 786-nucleotide ribosomal RNA is filed under the name Triticum aestivum (bread wheat). Its description in RNAcentral is "partial small subunit ribosomal RNA". The record is from RNAcentral. Lineage: Eukaryota; Viridiplantae; Streptophyta; Magnoliopsida; Poales; Poaceae.
AUGAUAUACCAGUUCAGGGGUGGUCUCAGAGAAGAAAUUCAGCUAGCUCUUGUUCUCUUUGAGCCCUUGAGGUACGAUGAGUUCUACAACAUGGCAUUGAAGCAAGAGGCCGCUCAACUGAGGUGUGAUGCUUCCAAGAAGCGAGUCAGAGACACUACUCCUUCUUCCUCUACUCAAGUGGCCAAGCAGCAGAAGUAUUGGCUUCCUCCUCCUCCGUUCCGUCAGCCGUAUCGGCAGAAGAGCAAAGGUGGCAGUGGAUCUUCCCACCCACCCAACCCUGGCUUUCAGAACAAGACUUCGUCUCAAGCUCCAAGAUCGAGUGCUCCAUACCACCGUCCGCUUUCAGAGGUCACGUGCAACAAGUGCCAACAGAAGGGUCACUAUGCCAACAAGUGUCUCAACCAGAGGCGUCUUCCUCCUCCUCUUCCUGUGAGAUCGGCAAGUACAGCUGUGGUCAAGCAUAACCCCAAGCACGCCAAGGUCAACUUGAUGAACGCAGCUCAGGCAGAGGACUCAUCAGAAGUGAUCAUGGGUAACCUUCUUGUUAACGAUAUCCCUGCAAAAGUUCUUUUUGACACUAGUGCAUCGCAUUGUUUUAUUUCCAAACCUUUUGCAUCGAAGUAUGAGUGCGAUUAUCAGUAUCUGCAAAAUUCCUUGCAAAUCGUGUCACUGGGCAAGCAAAUGACAGCUAAUUUAUGCGUCCUGGAUAUUACUAUCACGUUGGGCGACUACAAAUUUCUAGCUUCUCCUAUUGUUCUGGGUGACUCAGAUAUUGAUCUUAUUCUC